This is a long non-coding RNA of Lolium rigidum, 994 nucleotides long. RefSeq lists it as uncharacterized. The record is from RefSeq and is a predicted model, not a curated record. Lineage: Eukaryota; Viridiplantae; Streptophyta; Magnoliopsida; Poales; Poaceae. The transcript has 3 exons.
CACCCCCUCCGCCUCGCCGUCAACUUGCCCACUUCAAUUCCGCCGGCCGUGUGGCAGGAUGUGACGUCCUCGCUCGCUCAAUCUCCUCACAGCCAUCAACAAUGGUGGUCUGAUGAGUAUCAGGUGUUAUGAGAAGUUAAAAGCUGCAAGAGAACAAUGAAGAAAGGCUGGCAAGAUUGUGCUCUCUAAAAGAUGCCCAUAUAGAUUGGCAACAACGACCACUGACUCAAGAGUUAUCAUGUAACUGACUCAAAAUAUUACCUGAGCUAGCCCGUGUCAUCGCUGCCAUUGUCCAAUCCUAUCAUUGUCAUCAUAUGGACCAGGACCUCAAAGCUGAGAAGUUCCUAUUUAUCGGCAAGGAGAAGGACUGAAGGAGGAGCCUCCACUUGCCAACCACAAAUCCAGGUAACUUUGUUUUGGUUGCACCUUAAGUGAUUGUUGUAAUAAAAAAAAUCUAUCGUUGGCAUUUGAUAAUAAUAAUUAGUAAGUUACAUAAAUUGGAUGCCUUCCUACUUUUGAUGUACUUUGUAUUGAUCAACUCAAGUUCAUACAGAUAAGGAAGUUUGAUGCUAUAGAGUAGAGGAAUGCAUUUUUCACUGGCAUAUGUCGGCAUAUGAGCUUGCAUUUCUUCAUUAAAAAUUUAAGAGCAGUUGUUAGUCCCGGUUGUUUUGGGGUAACUGUACCAGCUCUUGUGAGUUAGAUGUGUUGGAUACUAGCAUAUAGUUGGAUAGUUUGAUAGUAACUCUUGGUAAGUUAAAUUAGAAGUAACCUGACAAAAGAAAUCCCUGUGGGGUUCUAUCUAUACCAAAGAUCUUGCUACCUGCUCAUUGCAUUGUCGUUGAUAAAUAAUGUGUCUUCCUACUUGGGAGGUUGCAUUCAUGCGAUUGAGUGACUGCUAAACUAUGCUCGAUUUUCCUAUUGUCAAAAAAUACUCAAUGUACAUCACUUGAGUAGCACUGCUUUGUUUGUACAGGGCAUAGCUAUAGUAUUUAAG